Molecule: long non-coding RNA, 7421 nt
Filed under: Nicotiana benthamiana
Lineage: Eukaryota; Viridiplantae; Streptophyta; Magnoliopsida; Solanales; Solanaceae
Description: long non-coding RNA (NBEN_LNC008590)
Source: RNAcentral
AUUACCACACAUAGACACAAGAGAAACCAUCAGAGAAGCGAUCCAUCAAGACCAGUUUAAAAUCGGGUAAAAAUUUGUUUUUAAAUUUCGGAUUUUAAUUUGAUGCGCUGUGAGUUGUGUUUGUACCUGUGAUGUGUGCUUAAUUUUCCUACUUUUUCCUCAAAUCUCUUGAACUAAAUCAAUUAACCCAAAGAAGAAUCGGAAAUUCUCGAGCUAAGGUUUUGAUUGAUGAAUUUGGGAAAUUUUAUUGUUUUCUAUAUGUUUCUUCUUCUUUUUUAUUUUAAAUUCAUUAAAACAAAGUGAAUUAGUUAUAAAUUUUCGAGUUAAGGUUUCGCUGGAUGAAAUUGGGGAUUUUUUUAUUUUUCGGAGAUGAAUUGAAAUCAAGAAAAUAAAUUUACUUUCUUUACUUGCUUGAAUUUUUGUUUUUACAUCAAAUACCAGUCGCGUAAUUUAUGUGCUGCAUGUAAAGCAUAUAGGAGAGUAGUAAAGACCAAAAUUAUGUUGUAAAAGGAGAAAGAAAUUCAUGUUCACACUUAAACGAAAAAAGUGUGUAUCAAAAUAUCUUUGAAGAAGUUGUAAUCGUAUUUGUUGUAAUUGUGUGAAGAGUCUUUUCCAAAAGGCAUGAUUAAGUUGUAACCAUAUGAAUCUAUUCAGCCACAUCUUUUAGAAAAGAAAUUCUUAAGGAAAAAAUAAGGGAAAAGAGAGAUAAUUUACUUAGUGUGAUGAUUUACCUUAUAAACAUGCAGUUUUUGAAAUGUUUCAAUAGGCCACUAAAAGAGUAAAAGUAGAUCCUCUAAGACCUUUAUAUGUUAGUAGUACUUCAAAGUUCUAUGUUUACGGUCUAUCAAGAAUUCCAACCAUGGCAAAAUGAUUAUACUUAUCAAAACAGAACACCAGCAUGGACACUCCAUUUUAAUGACAGAAAGGUGUUUCUUUUCUUUUAUCCUUAACUAAAUGUUCUAGAUUCGAAUUUUAGGAAUAGAGAAAUUCUUGGUAGCGAACCUUCUCUCUUUAAUUGGCUCUACGAGGCUACGAGAAUGAAAGGAUGUAUUUAAUUGGACAUAUGUAAUGCGGAUUUACAUUAGUCGAGCAGCAAUAACCAAUUUAUAAUAAUAUCUAAAGAGAGUUAAGAUACACUAAUAUUAGAUAGCUUAUAUAAGUUAAAUUGCAACAAGUAGGUGGUACAGUCGGUGAGGAUUGUCUUUGUCAUUGCUAAUUGAAUCAAUACAUCAUGCAUGUUUGUUAUUAAUGGCCAACUACAUUGUGGGAUUGUAGUUGUGCAGUUGGAAGACAGUAUUGCGUUCAAUUCGAAAGGCAUGGUUUUCACUUUUCAGUAUGUUUUUUCAUAGGAUAGCUUCCAACAGAACUUCUCUCCAUUAACAGAUAAUAAAAGUCUUUAGAUAUAAACAAGUUAUUGCUUUGUUCUAAUUCUCCGUCACAUGUAUUAGCAAAAGGAGAAAAUAAAUGAAUGCGUGAAUGAGAACCGAUUUGCCUUCCCUUUUUUCUCUCGCUAUUCACUCUGGCCUCCUCCAUAUUUCUUCCUUUUCUAAUCUCUAUUUCUUUCCUGACCGCAUGCUUCUUGAGCUUUUAGGGGUCUUUUUUUUCCUCUGUUUAUCUAAGUUGCUUGUGCUUUGAUGUGAUUCUUGCUGCAUAUUGUAGGAAAAUGUAAAUUAAUGGAAUUAGCUUUGCAGCGUGACUUACUAGCUAUCUAUCUUUGAUAUUUCUUUUUUAAUUUAGGGGCUUUACAUUUUUCAAUUUGGGACAGGUUUUAAAUUUUUUUGGAUUGAUAUAAAUUAAAGGAACUAUAUUUGUGAUUUGCAUCUAUCUAUCUAUCUAUCUCUGAACAUCCGAGAAAAAACAGUACAGCUGCAAAAGCAGGCAAUGAUCCUUUUUGAGUUGAAAUUUGACUUUGGUCUUAAGUCUUUAGGCUCCAUUAUUGCCUAUUCCAGUUUUUCUUCAAGUUUCUUCUUCACUCUGGUGAUUAGCUUUUACUUGACUUGUACAUUAUUUCCUUUUCUCUUUCAUUUCGGGGUCUAUCAUAUAUGUGAAUUUUGAGGAGUUUCUUGGUGAUAGGAUUUUGAUGAUAUGUGUUAGGUUUUUGCAGUUUCCUUCUUUGUGCUUUUGAGCUCUGUUCUAUUUGAGACUUUGAUAGUUGUUUUUCUUCUUAUUUUGGACUAUUUUGAUGGUUUUGCGAAAUUGAUGAAGGGUUCUUGUGAUUACUUUGCCUUAAUUGUUUUGGGAUGACUAUAUCAUAUGGCACCUUCAUGCUUCAUAUAUUUCCCUGAAAUUGUAUGUCGUAUGUUCGACCAAUUGGUUGAAUGACAUUGGACUAUUGGAGCCUAUUAAGGCUCCAAUGCACACUGAACGUGUAGAAGUGCAAUUUUUAGCUUUGAUAAUUGAUAAAUAUUCUGAGCUCUAAGAUAAAUAAGGAAAAUGAGUUGUGUUUGAGGGAUAUGACGCAAAGGUUUGUCAUAUCUUUGUUCCCUGAUUAUACAUGUAAAAACAUUGCACCUUGAUCUUUCAUUGUGUUGUUUCAUUAUCCUAUUUUUUCUAUCUUCAUCCUUGUAUCUGCAGAUGAAAGUAUAAUUUAAAAUUAUGUAUCUUUUUAAUCUGAAUUAUCAAUAUUAUCCAAAAAGUUAUUUUAAAACAUAAAAUUGUGCUAACAAGCUUCAGAAAUGGUAUACUAAGUACUUGUAGUGCCAAAAUGAUCAAAAUGAUCCAUCUGUUUUAGGAUGUUUUAGGAUUUCUUGCAAUUCUGUAUAUCAAUUAGAAUAGCUUUAUUAAAAAUAAUUCCAAAUAUCUUUUAGUAGUUAAUUUGCCAUGUCAAGCCUUUAAAGUUUUGAUAAUUUAAGAUUCUAUUAUUUUUGGUUUCAUACAGGCCUAUAUAUCUUUAGUAAAUUUACAAUAUCAAGACUUUCAAGUUUUGAGCUUUUUAUUUGAGCUAGAUAUGCUUUCAUUGUUUGCCGAUCUGUUCCUAUAAACAUUUUUAGUAGUUUAACUAGAUAUUUGUUGAUGCAUUGUUGCAAAGGUUAAAUAGGACAGAGCAGAACAUGAUUUGAAAAUUUUGUCUCUUUAUCAGAAUACGAUUCUCUCUCCAUGUACUGAAGAAAGAGUUGUAUCAGAUCAAAAAGCUAUAUUACUCGCCUUUGUUGAUCAAAUACAAGAGUUCUGUGUCUUAGCUUCUUGUUCCAGUUAGUCUUUCACAUGACCGAUAGCUACUCUAUCAUUGCUCGCACUUCGUUAUGGAUUGAAAUAAGUGGUAAGUAAUUUUUCUCAAUGACUUGUUAUAUUAGUAGUGUUAUCGUCUUUUUAGUACUAUUAUUUUUCUACUGAUGACACCAAUAGAGAUAACAGUGGAUAAAUGUUAUCAAUCUAAAAAAAUGAGAUAACAGUGGAUAAACAAAUAUAGCGCUACACUGCCAGACAAAACUAACUCCUAUUUUUUAUUGAAUUCAUGGCAGCUUUUAAUUGUUACUUUUUUACUUGGGAGUAGAAACUCAAAUCUAUUGUCAAAAAGAACGCCUCUAAUGUUCAUGAACAAAAGAAGCGCACAAAAAUUAAAUAUUAGCUUGACGCAUACUGAUGUAAUUUAUAAUGUUUAUAUGAGAAAUAAAAUGAGAAUGGUUGCACAUAGUUUGAUGUAAUCUAUGAUAUUUAUGUAAAAGAGAUUACAAAAGAGAAUAAUCACACAUAGCUCAAACAUUCUGUUUUCUUUUGUAAAUGAUCUAAAAGUGACAGCUGCCAAGAAAAACUUGUGGCUCUUGAUGCUUUAAAAACAUUAUAGAAAUAUAUGUAACAACUUGAACUGUCGUCGCAUGUGUUACCGCCCAUAUUUCCCGUUUUAUACUUUAUUAUGUUUCAUUAUAUGUGUUUGGAGAAAUUGAAGUAAUCAGGAUGGAGUUCGGUUAGAAAUGAGACAAUUAGUCUUUUUAUGAGAAGGUUAGUUUGGAAAAGACAACCGAAUGUUGACUUAUGAGUUAGAGGGAUCGGAAUGAAUUUUCGACGAUUUGACUAGUUUCGGGUGGUGAUUACUGAGUUAGGAGUGCAAUCAGAACUGAAUUUGGAGGUCCGGUGUAGAAUUAGGCUUGAAUUGGCUAAGGUUGAAUUUUGGCGAAGUCUGGUUGAUAGGUGAGAUUUUUAUCCGGGGGUCGGAAUGAAAUUACGACAGUUGCAGUAGCUCUAUUAGGUGAUUUUGGAUAUGCGUGCAUACUUUUAGGUCAUUCGAAGGUGUUUAGGUUGGUCUUAGAUCAAAUGCAAGUUUCGGAAGUUUUACUUUGACUUAGGCUUGAAUCCGUGCUAAUUUGAUGAUUCUGAUGUUUAUGAUUGUAUUGUUAUGCUAUGAGCAAGUUUAAAUGUGGUUUAGAACAUAUAUGUGCUUUUGGUUGAGGUCCAGAGGGCCUCGGGGUUAUUUCGGAUGGCUAACGGGAAUUUUUGAAGUUGAAGAGUGCAGCAGAAAAUUGCAGAGGAAUUUUCCUCUAUGCGGUCGUGUAGGCCUAGCUGCGAUUGCAUAGAUGGCCUGGAGGAGUCUCAGAAAUUUCUCUAUGCGAUCGCGUAAGGGGGCUUGAGAUCGCAUAGGUAUGGGGGAUUGUUCAGUGCGAUCGCGUGGGAUGUAUGCGAUCGCGUAGUAGGAUUUGAGGGCCCAGGGACUUUGUGCAUUGCGUUCGCAUUAAUUUGAAUGCAAUCGCAUAAGUCUGGCCAGUGAAGCUAGGCCUGGUAACUUUGUUCUAUGCGAUCGCAGGGGCUUGGAUGCGAUCCCAUAGAAGGAAAUAGUUGGGCAGAGAAGGGUUUUUAAUAACAUUUCAUCCGCGAACCAAACCUAUUUUCCACCAUUGUUAAGCAACCAAGUCUGAAGUCUACAACAAACAAGUGGGAGAGGCAGGAUUCGACCUACGUAGAAAAACUUUAACAGAUAUACAGUCUGCCACUUUUGACCACUCGGCCACACUCCCCUUCCCAAGCCGAGGCCCCCCUCAAUGGGUUCUAAUUCUAAGAAGGGGGGCGGCACCCUGAAUCAAUCAAAAAGCUUAUUGAUUUAAUUGAAGGGAACUAAGACGAUUAGCUUAGCUAGCGUUCCGGGAGAAUCUAGUCAUUUAGUCAGUUCAUAACUAUCUCUGUAAAGCAAGGGGUAAAGCUUCUACGAAAGCUUCCCCCUCAUGUAGUCGUCGGCCUUCCCCAGCCCCCCCUCGUCGCUUCUGGCGAAGCUGCGAGUUCAUGAGCAAGUGAAUGAAGGAGCCAUGUUCUGCUUCUACAAAAGCUUCGAGGAUCUUAAACUUCUUGAUCGUGAAAAAUCAAGUGAGCUUUCCCCCAUGACAUUUCUGUGGAACGAGCUUAGCUGCUAGGUGAAUCCCUAAAGUAGAUUAUGUCUCCGCAGCAUUGGAAUCAAUAUUUUGACUUUCCUGGUCUAUUUAAAUAACUGAAGCUAGCCGAAUACGAACUAACGGAAUACUACUUUGUUUCUGUUUUGUUUGUGGACAAAUGAUAUCCGUUCAGGUGUAUGGCUGGAUCCUUUUAGAUCUACGGGCCGGCCGGCCCCGGCCGUUUACAUGAGCAUAGGGAAUCUAUACUCGAGCGUUCCACUGGGCCCCUGACAGGAUAGGUGAGGAUUGCUUUUUGAGUGAUUUGAAGCGUGUUUUCAACGGGUAUUGAUUGGAGGUAAGUCUCUUGACUUAAAAACACCAUUUUUAUGACGAAUCAACCCGCAAAUCCAUGAAUCAUGCUGGAAUUGUGAAGAAUUAGGGCUUAGUUUUUGAAAAUAAAUUUAAGGUCUUUGAAAGGUCAUUCGAGCUCCGUUUUUGACAAACUUUAUGUGUACGGACACGUGGAGUGACGAGGAAUCCAUUGAUAUUAUUUUUGGAAUUUUUUUAGAAGUGGGCUCGGGGCUCGGUUUUUACCAACUUCGUGAUUUUCAGUAUUUUUUUGAGUAAUUUCGAUUGGGUUAUGUUUCUUAAACAUAUAAUAACCUAUCCGUUAUGGUUUUGGCUAGAUUCGACGUGCGAGGAGGUUGAUCCGAGUGGCAAGAGUGUUGCUAACUAGUUUUCGGUUGGCUAGAGGUGAGUAAUUGAUGCACUGACGUGCUGAGGGUUUGAAACCCCAGACUUUCACAUCGUAAUGCUAUAUUGAGGUGUGACACGCAUUCUACGAUGAGUGCGGGGACGGAUACAGUUGGGGAUUGAGACCUAGUCCAUCCUGAGUGAUUAUUGCUAUUAUAUUGGCGACUGAAACGCAUUCCUUGUUAUUGUGGACUGGGCUUAUUGCCAUGUUUGGGGCCAUGUACCGACUUGUGGAAUCCUUAGGGGAUCUUUAUAUGUUUUCUUCACUUGUGUGCAUCACAUAGAUUCUCAGUCACGUGUUCAAAUAAUAAAUAAAUAUAAUAACUGUGUUUUAUACAUAACUUAAAAUGAAAAAGGAUAUGAAGGCUGAGAUCCCUAUAGUAUGUCCCGUCCGAUUGAUGGUGGACUUGUUUGACUGAGAUGGGUCGGGGACCCUGUAGUGAGGGUGUUUUCCUGAUAUGGAUUGGGCUACACGUCGUAGCAAUUAUAUAUAUUCAUAUUGAGGCUGAGAGCCUGUUUUAAUAGUGAGGAUGAUUUCCUGAUAUGGAUCGGGCUACAAGCCGUAGCGAUUAUAUAUAUAUUGAUAUUGACGCUGAGAGCCUUAUUUACGCCAAUACCUGGCUGAUAUUGCACUUGGGCUGUAGGAGCCCCUCCGAAGUGUGUACACCCCAAUAAGAGUCGUCGACGUUAAAUAAGUAGAGCGGGCAGCACGCCUUAGCGGGUAUUAGAUUAUACCGUUAUGUGUAUUGUUUUUAUGCCAUGUGUUAUUCCUUAAAUAUGUUAAGUUGUUGUAUGCUGUUUCUACUGUUUGGAUAUAAAUUGCUAGAUAUAGAGUACUUUGUGCACUUAUUGUUUUUUCUUUCUUUUAGCCUUUAGUUAUAUCUAUUACCACUGAGUUGAAAGUACUCACUUUACUCCCUGCACCUUGUGUGCAGAUCCAGGACAGUCUCAGGCUGAGUGAUUCCAGCGGAUUCAGAGUUCUUUCGGGAGUAUUUGGGGUAACUGCAGGGCCUUCGCAGCCGAUGAUUCUCCCUUCUAUCUUUAUCCUUUAUUCCCGCAUUAUCAGUGUUAGACAGACUUGUAAUAGGAUAUUAUUCUGUCAAGAGAGGUUCAUGGUCGUGACACCGGGUCCUAGUUGGGUUGUUUUGGUAUUUUCUAAGAUUUUUCGUAAUUUUAUCAGUAUUUCAGACUUUGACUUAGAUGGUUUCUAUCUUUACUUGUUAAAUAAUUGGAGUAACCGUUAGAAAUGGUCGGGCUUGCCUAGUAGUGUGCUGGGCGCCAUCACAAUCGGAAUGGGUCGUGACAAGUUGGUAUCAGAGCCUAAGUUACUUGGUCUCGCGAGUCAUGAGCCGAUUUAGCAGUGUCUCGAGU